GCCGGCGUAGCUCAGUGGUAGAGCAGAGUCUUCAUAAGGCUAAGGCCACAGGUUCGAUCCCUGUCGUCGGCA
RNAcentral lists this transfer RNA (72 nucleotides) under Candidatus Bathyarchaeota archaeon. RNAcentral describes it as "tRNA-Met". It matches the Rfam family "tRNA". From Rfam's summary of the family: Transfer RNA (tRNA) molecules are approximately 80 nucleotides in length. Their secondary structure includes four short double-helical elements and three loops (D, anti-codon, and T loops). Further hydrogen bonds mediate the characteristic L-shaped molecular structure. tRNAs have two regions of fundamental functional importance: the anti-codon, which is responsible for specific mRNA codon recognition, and the 3' end, to which the tRNAs corresponding amino acid is attached (by aminoacyl-tRNA synthetases). tRNAs cope with the degeneracy of the genetic code in two manners: having more than one tRNA (with a specific anti-codon) for a particular amino acid; and 'wobble' base-pairing, i.e. permitting non-standard base-pairing at the 3rd anti-codon position. Lineage: Archaea; Thermoproteati; Candidatus Bathyarchaeota. The record is from RNAcentral.